AGCGAACGCUGGCGGCAGGCCUAACACAUGCCAGUCGAACGAACCUUUCGGGGUUAGUGGCGGACGGGUGAGUAACACGUGGGAACGUGCCUUUAGGUUCGGAAUAACUCAGGGAAACUUGUGCUAAUACCGAAUGUGCCCUUCGGGGGAAAGAUUUAUCGCCUUUAGAGCGGCCCGCGUCUGAUUAGCUAGUUGGUUGAGGUAAUGGCUCACCAAGGCGACGAUCAGUAACUGGUCUGAGAGGAUGAUCAGCCACAUUGGGACUGAGACACGGCCCAAACUCCUACGGGAGGCAGCAGUGGGGAAUCUUGCGCAAUGGGCGAAAGCCUGACGCAGCCAUGCCGCGUGAAUGAUGAAGGUCUUAGGAUUGUAAAAUUCUUUCACCGGGGACGAUAAUGACGGUACCCGGAGAAGAAGCCCCGGCUAACUUCGUG
This 434-nucleotide ribosomal RNA is filed under the name uncultured bacterium. RNAcentral describes it as "partial 16S ribosomal RNA". It matches the Rfam family "Bacterial small subunit ribosomal RNA", at positions 29 to 507 of the family's 1533-position model. The record is from RNAcentral.